UCCAGGCAGCAAACACACACUGCUGGCUCAUGUUAGGUUUUCCACCUGCCAGGAUCCCAGCAGGGCUACUCUCAAGGAGUUUUUGUAAGAUGACUUCUUUCACACCACCUAUGGCACCAGCAGCCUACCUGUUGCGUUUCAGCACCAGCUUCACCUUCCCAUAGCUGACGGUACACAGCUGCAAACAGAUAACAGCAGGCAUUAGGAAUACCCAGCAGAGUGAUUACAGGUUUGGGUGCAAUUUAGUUUCUUUAAGAACAUGCAGUAUCUUCAGUUAUUUGCAGUGCUGUUACGCUUAUGGAACAACCUCGAAGAGAAAUUUUGAGAACGCACCAACAUUUAUGGAGUUAUAUGCAACGGAACCAUAGAUAGAAUGGCCUGGGUUGAAAAGGGCCACAAAGAUCAUCGAGUUUCAACCCCCUGCUAUGCGCAGGGUCACCAACCACCAAACCAGGCUGCCCAGAGCCACAUCUGCUCUCUUACAACAUAAGGACAGAAUAGAGUAAGACAACAAAAACACUGAGUAAAAACAAAUGUAUAUAAAAAACAACAGCAGUAACGCAGAUGCAGCAGAUGAGAAGGUCAGAGGGCUUUGCGGUACAACACCACAGCCUUACCUUGAUGAACUGAAUGAUGCCCUCUGGCACACCGGUCUUGCUCAGUUUCUGCAGGUACUCUGUGAUAUCGCUGGUCUGCAAGCCCACGCUGACGGCGGCGUACAGGGAGUAAGCAGUCAGCUUGUACUCGUGGAUGUGGGUCGGUCUGCACACGGGCUCAGCAAUGGCAACCAAAAAAUCCUGUGCGUAUUUGUAAACUGGAGAAAAGGCUUCCAGGAAAAUAUGGCCAUCGGGAGCCACCCAGAGCGGCCGCGAGGCGUUGUCGGCCUUGAGCGGCAUCUGCAGCCGGUAGUCCUUGGCGCCGUACUCGUCCAGCUUGGCGCCGCUGUCCUCCACCUGCUUCCCCGCCGCCGAGGGCACGGCCUCCUGCGACUCCUUGCCGGGAGCGUCAUCCUCCUCCUCCUCCUCGUCCUCGUAGUGCCGCUUCUUGGACUUCUUCUUGUCCCGCUCCUUCCUGCCCAUGGCCGCCGCGCCCGACCGCUACCGGAGGGCGUUGCGUCA
This 1118-nucleotide long non-coding RNA is filed under the name Gallus gallus (chicken). Lineage: Eukaryota; Metazoa; Chordata; Aves; Galliformes; Phasianidae. The record is from RNAcentral.